This 468-nucleotide ribosomal RNA is filed under the name uncultured bacterium. Its description in RNAcentral is "partial 16S ribosomal RNA". It matches the Rfam family "Bacterial small subunit ribosomal RNA", at positions 28 to 507 of the family's 1533-position model. The record is from RNAcentral.
GACGAACGCUGGCGGCGUGCUUAACACAUGCAAGUCGAACGGAAAGGCCCUGCUUUUGUGGGGUGCUCGAGUGGCGAACGGGUGAGUAACACGUGAGUAACCUGCCCUUGACUUUGGGAUAACUUCAGGAAACUGGGGCUAAUACCGGAUAGGAGCUCCUGCUGCAUGGUGGGGGUUGGAAAGUUUCGGCGGUUGGGGAUGGACUCGCGGCUUAUCAGCUUGUUGGUGGGGUAGUGGAUUACCAAGGCUUUGACGGGUAGCCGGCCUGAGAGGGUGACCGGCCACAUUGGGACUGAGAUACGGCCCAGACUCCUACGGGAGGCAGCAGUGGGGAAUAUUGCACGAUGGGCGGAAGCAUGAUGCAGCAACGCCGCGUGCGGGAUGACGGCCUUCGGGUUGUAAACCGCUUUCGCCUGUGACGAAGCGUGAGUGACGGUAAUGGGUAAAGAAGCACCGGCUAACUACGUG